GACAGAGGGCAGCAAAAUUGGAACUACAGCAGAAGGCAGUUGAGAGUGAAAACAGAACCUGCAGCCCCCAUCUUGUACACACUGAUCUGCCAUUUGAUCUUAUUUCAUGGAUCUCUGUACAGGUGAUUGUCACGACAGGAAUACAGGAAGGACAGGAGACCCGCAUGCUGAAGACAGGGGAGUUCAUUGGAGGGAAGAGGCAACCAGGAGGCAGAAAUGUAGUCAGGGACACAGUGCAAGACAGGUCACCUAUAGAUGCACACAAAACUUACCUCAGGCAGAAAAAUUGAGAAUUCCAGCAUUUGACUAAAUGAUAUUGGUGUGACGUCUAUCCUGACCACUCCCUGUACUUCGUCGGAUGAUCUUCAGGCUGCCCACGACCCUGUACUGAAGAAGAGGGUGCUUGAUUAUACCCAGAGUCAUUGAUGGAGAGGGGACCUUGUAAUCCAUGUGCCUGGAAAUACUUCUCUCUGUUGCUAUAGUGUUGUGUUUUUAAUGAAUGUGUCUAUUCACCUCUCUCUCUUUUUCUUCUGUCCUUGUUGGCAUUUCCUUGAACCUGAAUGUUCAUCUGCUUAAAAUAUCUAGAAAUUUAGAUAUUUCUAUCUUUCUGUUUACAGGUUACAGUCUAGUAAACAUUUUACACACACAGAGCAUGGCAGAGAAACGUAAUAAUUUAAAUACAAUACAUUUAAACAAUAAAUUUAAAUGCAGUGAACCCAUUUGAACCUGCAUUCAUCAAUUAAAGAGCAGUUUGGUACUGGAAUAGUCA
Paramormyrops kingsleyae is the source of this 769-nucleotide long non-coding RNA. RefSeq lists it as uncharacterized. The record is from RefSeq and is a predicted model, not a curated record. NCBI's taxonomy places the organism in Eukaryota, Metazoa, Chordata, Actinopteri, Osteoglossiformes, Mormyridae.